This 378-nucleotide ribosomal RNA is filed under the name Pholcus phalangioides (longbodied cellar spider). Its description in RNAcentral is "partial 16S ribosomal RNA". It matches the Rfam family "Bacterial large subunit ribosomal RNA", at positions 1927 to 2597 of the family's 2925-position model. Lineage: Eukaryota; Metazoa; Arthropoda; Arachnida; Araneae; Pholcidae. The record is from RNAcentral.
AUAGCCGCAGUAUUACUGUGCUAAGGUAGCAUAAUAACUUGCUUCUUAAUUAGGAGAUCGCAUGAAGGGUUAUACAUUAGGAUCCUGUCUCUUUUAACCAAAUAAACUUAAGUAAAAAGUAAAAACUCUUUUAACCAAAGCGGGACGACAAGACCCUGACAAACUUAACAUUUAGUUGGGGAAACAAAAUAAUAAAUAUUUAUUCAUAACUUAAACAUAACUUUAAAAUAAAAACAAGACUAGUUACUGCAGGGAUAACAGCGUUAUUUCUUUUAAGAGCUCUGAUCUAAAAAGAAGAUUACGACCUCGAUGUUGAAUUAAUUCCGCUAUACGGGUGCAACAACCCUAUAAGGUAGUCUGUUCGACUAUUAAAAAAUU